AGCUACAUCCGUCACCUGACACGGCCCUACCAGGAACAGCCGCGCUCCCGCGGAUUCUGGUGCUGCUCGCGUCCCCGCUCCCCUAUUCCCCUUAUUUUAUUCCUGGCUCCCCUCGUCGAAAGUCUUCCAUUCUUCAAACUAGAUUAUUUAAAAAUGAAAAAGGAAGAAAGGAAAGCGAGGUCAUCUCAUUGCUCUAUCCGCCAAUCAGGAGGCUGAAUGUCAGUUUUGAACUAAAAGCCGCUCCGCUCCUCUUCUAGAUUUGGAAAACAAGCGAAAUUAAACUAAACCGCUGCACGCCUCUGACGCGACAUCUGGACACGGCGCGGCGCUGGCGCUGCCGGAGCUGUCGACCCGGCCUGGCGCCGGACUAGGACUAUUUGCCACGACAUUUCAAAGGAUUCCAAGAGAGAAUAUUGGUGUCCAUGCUGUGAUGAUUCCUCAGCUCCUCUCAUCUGAUCUCCGUCCUGGCCCCCAUGACUUUCUUUGUGGUAGUUAGGGUGUGGUAUGUGCCACUGAGGCCCACACCUAUUGCUUGUCCCUUUUGAUGAGAAGAAUAAGCCUCAUUCUGAUUCAACAGCAGAGAUCAAAGAAAAGACUUCUGUUUUCUGGCCACCAGAUAUAUGUUAUCUGUGCUUAAAGAAUUGAAAAACACACAUCAAAGGAGAAUUUUCUUGGAAAGAGAGGGUUCAAGCAUCACUGUUAGGUGUGCUGGAAUCCUUUCCCGAGUCAGUACUGCUUUCUAGAAGAAAACCGGGGAGAUCUAUUUGGAAUGUAUCUAACUCCAAAGAAACCAUCAGAGGUAACAGUAGAGACGGGGUUUCACCAUGUUGGCCAGACUGGUCUUGAACUCUCGACCUCGUGAUUCGCCCGCCUCGGCCUCCCAAAGUGCUGGGAUUACAGGUGUGAGACACCACACCCGGCGGAUAGAGAGAAUUUUGACAGGUGAUGGAGGCUUUUUAUUUUGCCACAAAACCACUGGUGACGUUGCCUGUGGCCACCUUGGAGAAGACACUGGAGGCCUGGGACAUGGAGACUGCUUUUCUGCAGAAACCACAUCCCUUGGAGUAAUGAGCUACACCUACCUCAAUUAUUCAGUGCAGUACAACACUCCAGACAGGGUCUCACUCUGUCACCCAGGCUGGAGUGUAUUGGCAUGAUUACAGCUCACUGCAACCUUGAACUCCCAGGCUCAAACCUGAGCAGCUGGGACUACAGAUGCACCACCAUGCAUGGUACCAGAGAUAUAAUAAUGAGAAACAGACAUGCUCCCUCCCCUCAUUGAGGUUACAGCUUAGUGUGGAGACACACAGAUGCCUAACGCACUAUGGUAUGGAAGGUGCUAUGGACACAGUGCUCAAAUCCAUGAUCUACAUAGGUGGAGAACUUCAGUAGAGGAAGUGGCAGGAAUUUGGGAAUGAGGAGCACAGUGAUUAAACUGGGGCCAUUCAUAUGAGAGUUUAAGAACUCAGACCAGUGACUUAGAUUGGCUUCUCUCACAUGGCAAGAAACAUUGCUGCUAGCACUUCCCGAGUUCUACGUUCUACAACAUCCACCACUGGAUCUUAACAUAGACGUAAGAUCAAAUGCAAUAGCAUGUCAAACAAUGUGUAACUCCAGUUAUACAAACAUUACUGUAUCUCAUUGGGGAUACGAAGCUCUACACACUUGAAGAUGGUGAAGGAAUAUAAAAAUCUAUGUCUCACAGUCCAGACUUGGAGUACAAGUAAUAAGAAGAAUAAAACUUAAUCCCUUAAGUAGAUUCACCAUAAGUUAGCUCAGAGCAAUUCCAGUGCAAGUAUGGUCUGUGAUCCAGUAGUAUCUUACAGACAGCAAGUUGAACAUUGUGGGAUGCAUGAGCUAUUGAGGCCUUUGCAGCUUUCUGCUACAUGGAGGCUAGGGCCAGAGUCAAGAUUUAUGCUUUGCAGCACACUGGUCAGCUGUUUUUGCAAAUCAGAUUAAAUGAUUUUUAAAUGAGGCUGAGAGCAUGGGAGAUACUAAUGUGUGUUUCCUUGUGAGCUACUGCAUAAGUUAGGAAAUUGAAAUACAGAAAGAUGAAAAGUGAUUUGCCCAAGCAUAUAGAUCAAAGCUGUGGCAGAACCAGGACUGGAACCUAUAUCUCUCUACUAAUGGUUUUUUUAAAAAAAUAACCUUGUUUCAAAAAUAUUAAAAAGUCACAAGAAAGGUAAACAUGUGGAUAAACAAAAUGAAGAAAAUAAAAAUUAUCCAGUAAUAACAUA
This 2237-nucleotide long non-coding RNA is filed under the name Homo sapiens (human). RNAcentral's name for it is "CDKN2B and CDKN2A antisense cis and trans regulatory RNA 1, transcript variant 16 (CDKN2B-AS1)". The stretch from base 541 to 684 matches the Rfam family "CDKN2B antisense RNA 1 convserved region 3". Lineage: Eukaryota; Metazoa; Chordata; Mammalia; Primates; Hominidae. The record is from RNAcentral.